Molecule: ribosomal RNA, 592 nt
Filed under: Microbacterium natoriense
Lineage: Bacteria; Bacillati; Actinomycetota; Actinomycetes; Micrococcales; Microbacteriaceae
Description: bacterial SSU rRNA
Rfam family: Bacterial small subunit ribosomal RNA
Source: RNAcentral
CCGGCCCCUUUCGCUUGUUGGUGAGGUAAUGGCUCACCAAGGCGUCGACGGGUAGCCGGCCUGAGAGGGUGACCGGCCACACUGGGACUGAGACACGGCCCAGACUCCUACGGGAGGCAGCAGUGGGGAAUAUUGCACAAUGGGCGGAAGCCUGAUGCAGCAACGCCGCGUGAGGGAUGACGGCCUUCGGGUUGUAAACCUCUUUUAGCAGGGAAGAAGCGAAAGUGACGGUACCUGCAGAAAAAGCGCCGGCUAACUACGUGCCAGCAGCCGCGGUAAUACGUAGGGCGCAAGCGUUAUCCGGAAUUAUUGGGCGUAAAGAGCUCGUAGGCGGUUUGUCGCGUCUGCUGUGAAAUCCCGAGGCUCAACCUCGGGCCUGCAGUGGGUACGGGCAGACUAGAGUGCGGUAGGGGAGAUUGGAAUUCCUGGUGUAGCGGUGGAAUGCGCAGAUAUCAGGAGGAACACCGAUGGCGAAGGCAGAUCUCUGGGCCGUAACUGACGCUGAGGAGCGAAAGGGUGGGGAGCAAACAGGCUUAGAUACCCUGGUAGUCCACCCCGUAAACGUUGGGAACUAGUUGUGGGGUCCUUCCAC